This 302-nucleotide long non-coding RNA is filed under the name Mytilus galloprovincialis (Mediterranean mussel). The record is from RNAcentral. Lineage: Eukaryota; Metazoa; Mollusca; Bivalvia; Mytilida; Mytilidae.
CAGAUUUUUUUUAUAGGGUUGAAUUUCAACAGAGAGGUUCACCACAUAUUCAUAUCUUGAUUUGGAUUGAAAAUGCACCAGUAUAUGAAAGUGAUUCAAAUGAAGAUGUUGUAGCAUUUAUUGAUAAAUAUGUCUCCUGUUCACUUUCAGAAAAUGAUACUAGUUUAGUCAAUUUGCAAGUUCAUAAACAUUCUAAAACAUGCAGAAAAAAAGGUCACCCAAUUUGUCGUUUUGGUUUCCCCCUUCCACCUAUGAAAGCAACAGUUAUUCUAGAGCCUUUGAAAGAAAAUGAUGACAUAGAA